Molecule: ribosomal RNA, 714 nt
Filed under: uncultured cyanobacterium
Lineage: Bacteria; Bacillati; Cyanobacteriota
Description: bacterial SSU rRNA
Rfam family: Bacterial small subunit ribosomal RNA
Source: RNAcentral
GUCGAACGGAAUCUUCGGAUUCAGUGGCGGACGGGUGAGUAACGCGUGAGAAUCUGGCUUCAGGUCUGGGACAACAGUUGGAAACGACUGCUAAUACCGGAUGUGCCGAGAGGUGAAAGGCUUGCUGCCUGAAGAUGAGCUCGCGUCUGAUUAGCUAGUUGGUAGUGUAAGAGACUACCAAGGCGACGAUCAGUAGCUGGUCUGAGAGGAUGAUCAGCCACACUGGGACUGAGGCACGGCCCAGACUCCUACGGGAGGCAGCAGUGGGGAAUUUUCCGCAAUGGGCGAAAGCCUGACGGAGCAAUACCGCGUGAGGGAGGAAGGCUCUUGGGUUGUAAACCUCUUUUCUCAAGGAAUAGCAAAAUGAAGGUACUUGAGGAAUCAGCAUCGGCUAACUCCGUGCCAGCAGCCGCGGUAAUACGGAGGAUGCAAGCGUUAUCCGGAAUGAUUGGGCGUAAAGCGUCCGCAGGUGGCCCUGUAAGUCUGCUGUUAAAGAGUGAGGCUUAACCUCAUAAAAGCAGUGGAAACUACAGAGCUAGAGUGCGUUCGGGGCAGAAGGAAUUCCUGGUGUAGCGGUGAAAUGCGUAGAGAUCAGGAAGAACACCGGUGGCGAAGGCGAUCUGCUAGGCCGCAACUGACACUGAGGGACGAAAGCUAGGGGAGCGAAUGGGAUUAGAUACCCCAGUAGUCCUAGCCGUAAACGAUGGAUACUAG